Molecule: ribosomal RNA, 461 nt
Filed under: uncultured bacterium
Lineage: Bacteria
Description: partial 16S ribosomal RNA
Rfam family: Bacterial small subunit ribosomal RNA
Source: RNAcentral
CCUACGGGUGGCUGCAGUGAGGAAUAUUGGUCAAUGGGCGCAAGCCUGAACCAGCCAAGUCGCGUGAGGGAAGACGGCCCUACGGGUUGUAAACCUCUUUUGCCGGGGAGCAAGCCUGAGCACGUGUGCCCAGGCGGCGAGUACCCGGAGAAAAAGCAUCGGCUAACUCCGUGCCAGCAGCCGCGGUAAUACGGAGGAUCCGAGCGUUAUCCGGAUUGAUUGGGUUUAAAGGGCGCGUAGGUGGAUUGUUAAGUCAGUUGUGAAAGUUUGCGGCUCAACCGUAAAAUUGCAGUUGAAACUGGCAGUCUUGAGUACAGUAGAGGUGGGCGGAAUUCGUGGUGUAGCGGUGAAAUGCUUAGAUAUCACGAAGAACUCCGAUUGCGAAGGCAGCUCACUGGACUGCAACUGACACUGAGGCUCGAAAGUGUGGGUAUCAAACAGGAUUAGAUACCCCGGUAGUC